UACAGAGGGUGCGAGCGUUUGUCCGGAAUCACUGGGCGUAAAGGGCGCGUAGGUGGCGCGACAAGUCAGUGGUGAAAGCUCGACGCUCAACGUCGAGUCGGCCACUGAUACUGUUGGGCUUGAGCACUGUAGAGGCUAAUGGAAUUCCGGGUGUAGCGGUGGAAUGCGUAGAGAUCCGGAAGAACACCGGUGGCGAAGGCGGUUAGCUGGGCAGUUGCUGACACUGAGGCGCGACAGCGUGGGGAGCAAACAGGG
RNAcentral lists this ribosomal RNA (255 nucleotides) under uncultured bacterium. RNAcentral describes it as "partial 16S ribosomal RNA". It matches the Rfam family "Bacterial small subunit ribosomal RNA", at positions 524 to 777 of the family's 1533-position model. The record is from RNAcentral.